This 1406-nucleotide unclassified non-coding RNA is filed under the name Hevea brasiliensis (rubber tree). The record is from RNAcentral. Lineage: Eukaryota; Viridiplantae; Streptophyta; Magnoliopsida; Malpighiales; Euphorbiaceae.
UUUGGUUGCUUAUACUUUUCAAUUUCAAGCUCAUGCUGCUCCUGCAGGGCCAUUAGUUAAGCACUUGUCUUCUCUUCUCAAAUGGACUGCCAGAUCAUCCUCCAAAAUACCCCAGUCAGAUGGGAAUGUUCUUCAAUUUGAAGAUGGGUACUUAGUGGAGACUGUUGUGGAAGGAAAUGAAAUUGGAGUUGUUCCUUACAAAAUCCGCGUCUCUGAUGAUGGAGAACUAUAUGCUGUUGAUGAGGUUAAUAGCAACAUUGUUAAAAUUACCCCUCCAUUGUCCCAAUACAGUAGGGCCAGAUUGGUGGCUGGUUCAUUUCAGGGUUAUAAAGGGCAUGUGGAUGGAAAACCAAAUGAAGCUCGUUUUAAUCAUCCCAGAGGUGUAACCAUGGAUGAUAAAGGGAAUGUGUAUGUGGCUGAUACCUUGAAUCUUGCCAUCAGAAAGAUUGGAGAUGCUGGUGUGACAACCAUUGCUGGUGGGAAAUCAAAUAUUGCUGGCUACAGGGAUGGACCUAGUGAGGAUGCGGANNNNNAUUUUGAUGUGGUAUAUGUUCACUCCACAUGUUCUCUGUUAGUUGUUGAUAAAGGAAAUGCUGCUCUUCGACAAAUCUCACUCAACCAAGAAGAUUGUGAUUAUCAGUCCAGUUCAAUUACUGCUACAGAUUUCCUUAUGGUUGUUGGGGUCGUCUUGGCUGGAUAUGUUACAUGUAUGCUUCAACAAGGAUUUGGGCCUUCUUUCUUCUCAAGAAUGCAGCAAUAUUCAGAGGGUGAAUUUAUGGAGUACCCAAGUAUGGAGAAACCGACUCCUAUCACAGAGAGCAUGAAAGAGGAUCCUAAGUGGCCCUCUUUUGGACAGCUUAUUAUUGAUCUUUCCAAGCUAGCACUUGAGGCAUUGGCUAGCAUGUUCCUCUUCUUAAUCCCUUCAUGGUUCAGAUCAAGUGGAUCCAAAGGCCUCACACCAUUGAAAGAUUCCCUAAGGAUGCCUGAAGAUGAAGUUGAACCCCCAAUAGUGCAGAGGCUGAGUAUUCCUGUUCCUUUGUCUGAAACCCGGCAGGUCCAUACUCCUGAUACUAGCGAUAAAUAUUCAGAAAUGAAGCCACCAAAGAUCAAGUCAUCCAGUUUCAAGGAUCCUUCUUUAUCAAGCAAGCACCGUUCCUCAAAACGACAAGAAUAUGCAGAAUUCUAUGGAUCAGGUGAGGUGCCUCCUUCUGGCAGGCCCAAGAGCCACAAAGAGAGAACAAGGCAUCGACAACGUGAAAAGAGUGGAGAGUUGAUUUUUGGAGCAGCCGGGACAGAGCCAACAAAACCUGUUGAAAUGAAGCCUGUGAAUUAUGAUAAUCCAAAAUUUGACCAUUACAAUAUGAGAAGCAAGUAUGGAUCUGACAAUUCCUACCCAUUUUGAUCAA